GAUGAACGCUGGCGGCGUGCCUAAUACAUGCAAGUCGAGCGAACAGACGAGGAGCUUGCUCCUUCGACGUUAGCGGCGGACGGGUGAGUAACACGUAGGUAACCUACCUAUAAGACUGGGAUAACUUCGGGAAACCGGAGCUAAUACCGGAUAAUAUUUCGAAACGCAUGGUUCGAUAGUGAAAGAUGGCUUUGCUAUCACUUAUAGAUGGACCUGCGCCGUAUUAGCUAGUUGGUAAGGUAACGGCUUACCAAGGCAACGAUACGUAGCCGACCUGAGAGGGUGAUCGGCCACACUGGAACUGAGACACGGUCCAGAGUCCUACGGGAGGCAGCAGUAGGGAAUCUUCCGCAAUGGGCGAAAGCCUGACGGAGCAACGCCGCGUGAGUGAUGAAGGUCUUCGGAUCGUAAAACUCUGUUAUUAGGGAAGAACAAACGUGUAAGUAACUGUGCACGUCUUGACGGUACCUAAUCAGAAAGCCACGGCUAACUACGUG
This 497-nucleotide ribosomal RNA is filed under the name uncultured bacterium. RNAcentral describes it as "partial 16S ribosomal RNA". It matches the Rfam family "Bacterial small subunit ribosomal RNA", at positions 28 to 507 of the family's 1533-position model. The record is from RNAcentral.